AUUGAACGCUGCGGCAGGCCUAACACAUGCAAGUCGAACGGUAACAGGAAGAAGCUUGCUUCUUUGCUGACGAGUGGCGGACGGGUGAGUAAUGUCUGGGAAACUGCCUGAUGGAGGGGGAUAACUACUGGAAACGGUAGCUAAUACCGCAUAAUGUCGCAAGACCAAAGAGGGGGACCUUCGGGCCUCUUGCCAUCGGAUGUGCCCAGAUGGGAUUAGCUAGUAGGUGGGGUAACGGCUCACCUAGGCGACGAUCCCUAGCUGGUCUGAGAGGAUGACCAGCCACACUGGAACUGAGACACGGUCCAGACUCCUACGGGAGGCAGCAGUGGGGAAUAUUGCACAAUGGGCGCAAGCCUGAUGCAGCUAUGCCGCGUGUAUGAAGAAGGCCUUCGGGUUGUAAAGUACUUUCAGCGGGGAGGAGGGGAGUAAAGUUAAUACCUUUGCUCAUUGACGUUACCCGCAGAAGAAGCACCGGCUAACUCCGUG
This 489-nucleotide ribosomal RNA is filed under the name uncultured bacterium. RNAcentral's name for it is "partial 16S ribosomal RNA". It matches the Rfam family "Bacterial small subunit ribosomal RNA", at positions 30 to 507 of the family's 1533-position model. The record is from RNAcentral.